CGAACGGGUGAGUAACACGUGGGCAACCUGCCCAAAAGAGGGGGAUAACACUUGGAAACAGGUGCUAAUACCGCAUAACCAUAGUUACCGCAUGGUAACUAUGUAAAAGGUGGCUAUGCUACCGCUUUUGGAUGGGCCCGCGGCGCAUUAGCUAGUUGGUGGGGUAAAGGCUUACCAAGGCAAUGAUGCGCAGCCGAACUGAGAGGUUGAUCGGCCACAUUGGGACUGAGACACGGCCCAAACUCCUACGGAAGGCAGCAG
Molecule: ribosomal RNA, 261 nt
Filed under: uncultured bacterium
Lineage: Bacteria
Description: partial 16S ribosomal RNA
Rfam family: Bacterial small subunit ribosomal RNA
Source: RNAcentral